Molecule: ribosomal RNA, 510 nt
Filed under: uncultured bacterium
Lineage: Bacteria
Description: bacterial SSU rRNA
Rfam family: Bacterial small subunit ribosomal RNA
Source: RNAcentral
GACGAAACGCUGGCGGCGUGGAUUAGGCAUGCAAGUCGAACGGUAUCAUCCUUUCGGGGGUGAGAGAGUGGCGAACUGGUGAGUAACACGUAGGUUAUCUACCCUCAAGACGGGGACAACCCAGGGAAACUUGGGCUAAUACCGGAUGUGAGCAACUUUUAGUUGUUUGAAAGGUGGCGUAAGCUGUCGCUUGGGGAUGAGCCUGCGUCCUAUUAGUUAGUUGGUGAGGUAACGGCUCACCUAGGCAAUGAUAGGUAGGCGGCCUUAACGGGUGGUCGCCCACACUGGGAUUGAGAUACGGCCCAGACUCCUACGGGAGGCAGCAGUCGAGAAUAGUCUACAAUGGUCGGAAGACUGAUAGUGCGACGCCGCGUGAACGAUGAAUCCCUUCGGGGUGUAAAGUUCUUUUAUAUGUGAGCAGUGCUUCUUAUAUUAACAGUAUGGGGAAGAGAUAUUAGCAUAUGAAUAAGCAACGGCUAACUCCGUGCCAGCAGCCGCGGUAAACUCGUA